Molecule: long non-coding RNA, 1594 nt
Organism: Sarcophilus harrisii (Tasmanian devil)
Lineage: Eukaryota; Metazoa; Chordata; Mammalia; Dasyuromorphia; Dasyuridae
Exons: 2
Source: RefSeq, a predicted model, not a curated record
UACUCCCAACACCCACAAUUUUUUACCCCAAGAAUACAUAGCUAACUAAAUAACUUGCUACAUUUGCAGUUGUUUAAUUAUGCCUUUGUUUUAAGCAAGUUAAUGGACUAUAGUAAAUUGUUUCUAUUUCUGUUGCUUCCCUUAUUUUCAGUGAGUCCUGUGCUGGUGAAAAUUAGCUUGACAGCAGUGAGGAAAUAGAUUCUGGUAGAUCACCACAAAGGAAGUGACACAGUGGGCAGCAUCAAUGCCAGCUUUCUCCUCACAUGGAUUUCUUUGGAUAAAGUACUUCUAGGGGACAAAAUAUCAAUCAGCAAGUAUUUAAGUGUCUACAAUGUGUCAGCAUGGCUAAAAGAAACUAAAGCAGGACAUCCUGAAGAGGAGUCAUAAGGUCAAGCCAUAAUUUCUUAUAGCUACUCUGCCCCAAGAGCUUCCAGCAGUUUGCUCCAAUAAUGACUGGGGGAAAAGAAGCUCAAGAUAAAUCCAGACUAUAAAAAAAGUACCAAAAUACCUACAAGCAAAGCCUUGAAGAAAAAGUUGCCUCAACAUCAGUUAGAAUUCCGAGAAGAAAAUGAUGUAAGAAUUAAAAAAUGCUAUUAUACGUGAAAUGAGAGUGAUAGAAUUGGGGGUUGGGGGAGAGGGAAAGGCUUGAAAAAAAUUAAUAUCUUUGCGCAAGAAAUAUGAAACCUGUCCCAAGUAACAGACUGAAAAUUAGAAUGGACUAAAUAAAAGUUAAAAUUCAGUGAGAAAACAAAUCAAAUUUAAAAAUUCAAGAAAAUGUAACAUCAAAAAGGGAAAAUGGGUCAGAGAAAAUAGUAUAAAAGUCAUUGGUCUCUUUGGAAUCCCAUGACCAAAAAGAGAGAGACUAAAUCACAUGUAUUUCAAAAAAUAUAUAUAAAAGAAAAUUUGCCUUAGUUAACUGUUAAACUAGAAGGCAAGGUGAAAAUAGAAAGAAUCCACUGAUUACCUCCUGAAACUCUAAAAUAAAGAUUAAGGCAAAAAAUCCAGAGCUUCUGAGUAAAAGAAAAGGAAUGCUGCAAGGUUAACUACUCACAUACUAGUUAAGAUCCUGUAAGAUAUAGCAGGCAUUAAAGUUCUUAAAGAGUGAAGAAUACAGAAUGUGAUAUUCCAGAAGGCAAAGGCUUAUUAGAGUUUAUCAAUAAAACAGUAUAAUUUUGUAGGGGAAAAAGAUCCUUGGUGAAACAGACAUCAAAUACUAGAGAAUUGAAAUACAAACAUGAGUAAAAGAAAGCAUAAAAAGGUUUACUUACAAGUGAGUGAUUGGAAAAAGACAAUGGGGGAAGGGAGGGUGAUACAAACUUCUAACAACUUACUGCCAGCUGGGUUCAGAAAGUUAAAAAAGAAGGCGGUCCUGAGAAUGGUCUAUUCAUUUAUUUGAUCUUAAAAGGAAAAAGGGAGAGGGGAGAUAAAGAAAAAGGAAUUGGAUAGGUAUAUUUAAUUUACAUUACAAAUCUGCCACCAGUGCACUGGGAACAAAUGUCACUUGAACACUGUUUCAAAUUGAUCAAGAAUGAAGUGACUGACCACAACAUACAUUAUACCAACAAUACUGUUUAAAAAAAAAAAAAAAAAAAAA